CCGUUAAAGCGCGGCCAGCGAUUCACCUUGGGGAUGAUUCGGAUUCGAUGGCAAUCGACCAGCAAGCGAUGGCACGCUGCAGCAUAUUUAGGCCACAUGGGUUGACGGGUACAACAUACCUCAGUUUAAGGCUUCACUCUGUGCUCUCGGCGGCAGCUACUUGCCCUGCUCGUACGUGCAGACAGAGAUGCAUACUGUUGCUAUCAGGUCCACAGUUUCCUCAUCGCGAAUUAAACCCAGAGUCGGUCUCCUUAAUUCGAGCAUAGAUGUUGGUUGUAGCAAAAAAAAUCAGUACACACUAUAUUCUUGCAGACGAUUGAAUGCUAAAGAGAGCGGAUUUUUAGCCGCCGGCGGCGGGUGCGCCGGAAAUCUGGACGGCCGCAACUUCUCUGAGAUUGGUGGGACUCCUGACGAGCGGGUGUAUUAAACAUGUAUAACGUAACAAUAUCCGUUGUAUUUGGUCCGGGUCAGGUUUUUUUAUUUGGGCGGUGGGCACAAAUAUAGAGGACAACGCUCACGGGAGGGUUCCAGAGAGGGCAUCUGGAGCAGCACAACGCGACCGUCCGGCUUCCUCAUGCCCCGCUCAUCCGUAGGAACUGAAUGCGGGCGGACAACUUCCUCAGCUGAGGGCCACUCGGCGGGACGAGUCUAGCACAGAUCCAGCAUGAAUAAGGAUGAGCACGGAGGUCAGGAUUUCACUGGGGAAAGAGGCAAGAAGCUUGCACCCAUUGAAGACGGAUCGGCGAUUGCUUCAUCUGCCCAGCUUGAAAUCGGUACCUCACGGUUGUCAAUGGGACAAAUUUAUCGUAUGGUGCAAACAUUCACCCCUUUCAAAAGAGAUUUGGUGAAUGCUAUUGGUUCGGGGGUUUGUUAUGUUUACCAAACUUGCCAAAGCUCAACCUGAGGUUUAGUUUGUGGUUGCUAAAUCAAGUUGAUGUGGACAAGCAUGCCUUGGUAGUGGAUGAUAAUAACAUGAUUCGUUUCUUUGACGAGGAUGUGGAAAGAAUUUUGGGCAUUCCUUGUGGAUUAAGAAAGGUAGAUGGUCCUGAUGCUAGUAUCACACCUGAUGCGGUGUCAUUCAUGCGCUCAGCACUGGGUCUAUUAGACAAAGAUUCACAUAGCUUGAAACGAGUUGAGUCAUUCCUGUGCAGAGACAUUUCACCAGAUUCGAGCCGUUUGGAGCAAGAAUGUUUUCAGGCUGCCUUUGUAAUCAAUAGUAUGGGUCACCUGCUUGUACCAUUAGUGAAGCAUGACUAUGUGACAGUAGACUUUUGGGGUGCUUUGAAAAAUGUU
Long non-coding RNA from Panicum virgatum (switchgrass), 1293 nucleotides. RefSeq lists it as uncharacterized. NCBI's taxonomy places the organism in Eukaryota, Viridiplantae, Streptophyta, Magnoliopsida, Poales, Poaceae. The record is from RefSeq and is a predicted model, not a curated record. The transcript has 3 exons.